RNAcentral lists this ribosomal RNA (916 nucleotides) under uncultured bacterium. Its description in RNAcentral is "bacterial SSU rRNA". It matches the Rfam family "Bacterial small subunit ribosomal RNA", at positions 246 to 1155 of the family's 1533-position model. The record is from RNAcentral.
UUGUUGGUAAGGUAAAAGCUUACCAAGGCUUCGAUCAGUAGCUGGUCUGAGAGGACGACCAGCCACACUGGGACUGAGACACGGCCCAGACUCCUACGGGAGGCAGCAGUGGGGAAUUUUGGACAAUGGGGGCAACCCUGAUCCAGCCAUGCCGCGUGAGUGAAGAAGGCCUUCGGGUUGUAAAGCUCUUUCAGCCGGAACGAAACGGUUACGGUUAACACCCGUGACUACUGACGGUACCGGAAGAAGAAGCACCGGCUAACUACGUGCCAGCAGCCGCGGUAAUACGUAGGGUGCGAGCGUUAAUCGGAAUUACUGGGCGUAAAGCGUGCGCAGGUGGUUUUGUAGGUCAGAUGUGAAAGCCCCGGGCUCAACCUGGGAACUGCGUUUGAAACUACAAGACUAGAGUGUGGCAGAGGGGGGUGGAAUUCCGCGUGUAGCAGUGAAAUGCGUAGAGAUGUGGAGGAACACCGAUGGCGAAGGCAGCCCCCUGGGUCAACACUGACGCUCAGGCACGAAAGCAUGGGGAGCAAACAGGAUUAGAUACCCUGGUAGUCCAUGCCCUAAACGAUGUCAACUAGUUGUCGGGCCUUUACGGGCUUGGUAACGUAGCUAACGCGUGAAGUUGACCGCCUGGGGAGUACGAUCGCAAGAUUAAAACUCAAAUGAAUUGACGGGGACCCGCACAAGCGGUGGAUUAUGUGGAUUAAUUCGAUGCAACGCGAAAAACCUUACCUACCCUUGACAUGUAUCGAAGCCCGCAGAAAAGCGGGGGUGCCCGAAAGGGAACGAUAACACAGGUGCUGCAUGGCUGUCGUCAGCUCGUGUCGUGAGAUGUUGGGUUAAGUCCCGCAACGAGCGCAACCCUUGUCAUUAAUUGCCAUCAUUUAGUUGGGCACUCUAAUGAGACUGCCGG